UACGUAGGGUGCGAGCGUUAAUCGGAAUUACUGGGCGUAAAGCGUGCGCAGGCGGUUUUGUAAGUCGGAUGUGAAAUCCCCGGGCUCAACCUGGGAAUGGCAUUUGGGACUGCAAAGCUGGAGUGCGGCAGAGGAGACUGGAAUUCCUGGUGUAGCAGUGAAAUGCGUAGAUAUCAGGAGGAAUACCGAUGGCGAAGGCAGGUCUCUGGGCUGACACUGACGCUCAUGCACGAAAGCGUGGGGAGCAAACAGG
Molecule: ribosomal RNA, 253 nt
Filed under: uncultured bacterium
Lineage: Bacteria
Description: partial 16S ribosomal RNA
Rfam family: Bacterial small subunit ribosomal RNA
Source: RNAcentral